UCUAGACUUAUCUUCUAUGUGGAAGUCUCCUCCUGCUGUAGGUACUGUUAUACUAUGGGAUACUGGAGACACUGCAGAGCGGCAAGCACAUCUAUAACUACAUCGAUCCACCAGGGCUCUGCCAUCCUGAGAAAUGUCCUUACUCUGGAAGAGGAAUCACUACCGAUAUCUCAGGAGCAGUGUCAUCUCAACCCAUCGGGAAGGAGUGCCCUGGUGCUGAUGGUACCACUGCUACUCAUGGAACCAUCCUUGGAAUCAGAGGAGAUAGUGGCACCAGUAUCUCAACAAAGUCAUAGGAGCCCCAACAGACAGUUGAGAAGCUAUGCUUACCAUCUCUUUGGAUAUGAACCCCUCCCGCCCCCCAGGGACAGUUGGUACUGAUUCCCUUGGGGGCCACCAUGACUGAUGGAAUCCUCCUUUUGAUCUUACUGGGGACCUUGGAAGCCCUAUGGUAGGCACCCACAUCCCUCUCAAGAGUUGUACCACUCCUCCUGCUCUUGUUAGCCAGUCCCGUCAGUGUACAAGGAGGAAGAGCUGGGACAGGUACCGAUGGUUCUGACACAGGCUUCCUCAUCACCUCUGGAUGACUCAAUUGCUACUUUGUUGUCUUCUCUGCUAGAUAUCCACCCUCAGUAUCAGCAAUUGUUGAAAAGGGUUGCUAAUGACCUAUAGAUCCCACUGGAAGAAGUCCAGGACCCUCAACAACAGCUCCUGGGCAUUUUGCAACCACAAGGACUGACCAGAUUAGGAAGGAUGUAUUAGAACCAGCCAGAGUGGUUAGGCACACACCAGAUCUUGUGCCCCUACACCAAAAAGAGCUGAAAGACAUUAUUUUGUUCCUAACUAAGGAGAUAACUUUUUAUUUUCCAAACCCGCCCCUAAUUUGCUGGUGUUACAGGUGGCUAUGGAAAGAACUUGGUCACGCUGGCAGAGAAGGGCCCAAAGACCGUGGACCACCUGAGUAGAAAGAUCUCUUCCUCUACAUGUAGU
Chelonia mydas (Green sea turtle) is the source of this 990-nucleotide long non-coding RNA. RefSeq lists it as uncharacterized. Lineage: Eukaryota; Metazoa; Chordata; Testudines; Cheloniidae. The record is from RefSeq and is a predicted model, not a curated record. The transcript has 3 exons.